This 253-nucleotide ribosomal RNA is filed under the name uncultured bacterium. RNAcentral describes it as "partial 16S ribosomal RNA". It matches the Rfam family "Bacterial small subunit ribosomal RNA", at positions 524 to 776 of the family's 1533-position model. The record is from RNAcentral. RNAcentral also lists the same sequence under 1 other name.
UACGUAGGGUGCAAGCGUUGUCCGGAAUUAUUGGGCGUAAAGAGCUCGUAGGCGGUUUGUCGCGUCUGCUGUGAAAACCCGAGGCUCAACCUCGGGCCUGCAGUGGGUACGGGCAGACUAGAGUGCGGUAGGGGAGAUUGGAAUUCCUGGUGUAGCGGUGGAAUGCGCAGAUAUCAGGAGGAACACCGAUGGCGAAGGCAGAUCUCUGGGCCGUAACUGACGCUGAGGAGCGAAAGCGUGGGGAGCGAACAGG